CAGUCGCCGCGGGAACACGGAGGGUGCAAGCGUUAAUCGGAAUUACUGGGCGUAAAGCGUGCGUAGGCGGUUCGUUAAGUCUGUUGUGAAAGCCCCGGGCUCAACCUGGGAAUGGCAAUGGAUACUGGCGAGCUAGAGUGUGUCAGAGGAUGGUGGAAUUCCCGGUGUAGCGGUGAAAUGCGUAGAGAUCGGGAGGAACAUCAGUGGCGAAGGCGGCCAUCUGGGACAACACUGACGCUGAGGCACGAAAGCGUGGGGAGCAAACAGGAUUAGAUACCCCUGUAGUCCCUGUCUCUUAUAA
Molecule: ribosomal RNA, 301 nt
Filed under: uncultured bacterium
Lineage: Bacteria
Description: partial 16S ribosomal RNA
Rfam family: Bacterial small subunit ribosomal RNA
Source: RNAcentral